This 458-nucleotide ribosomal RNA is filed under the name uncultured bacterium. RNAcentral describes it as "partial 16S ribosomal RNA". It matches the Rfam family "Bacterial small subunit ribosomal RNA", at positions 28 to 507 of the family's 1533-position model. The record is from RNAcentral.
GACGAACGCUGGCGGCGUGCUUCAUACAUGCAAGUCGAACGAGAAGCUGACUUCGGUCUGUGGAAAGUGGCGGACGGGUGAGUAAUAUGUAGGAAAUCUGCCUUUAGGAGGGGGACAACAGAGGUAAACUUCUGCUAAUACCCCCUAUGAGCGUAGCUGAAAUGCUAUUCUUGAAAACUCCGGUGCCUACAGAUGAGCCUGCAUCUGAUUAGCUAGUUGGUAGUGUAAUGGACUACCAAGGCGACGAUCAGUAGCUGGUUUGAGAGGAUGAUCAGCCACAAUGGGAGUGAGACACGGCCCAUAAUCCUACGGGAGGCGGCAGUAGGGAAUUUUGCGCAAUGGGCGAAAGCCUGACGCAGCACCGCCGCGUGAACGAUUAAGCCCUUCGGGGUGUAAAGUUCUGUCAGUGGGGACGAAACUUGACGGUACCCACAGAGGAAGCACCGGCUAACUCCGUG